GCAAGUCGGACGGAGAAAUUCUGUGUAGCAAUACGUAGAAUUUUUGAGUGGCAAACGGGUGAGUAACACGUGGGCAAUCUACCCUGUAGUGGGGAAUAACGGCUCGAAAGGGUCGCUAAUACCGCAUGAGGUUGAACUUACGCAGGUAGGGACAAUCAAAGGACGCAAGUCCGCUAGAGGAGGAGCCUGCGAUCGAUCAGGUAGUUGGUGAGGUAACGGCUCACCAAGCCGUGGACCGAUAGCUGUUCUGAGAGGAAGACCAGCCACACUGGGACUGCGAGACGGCCCAGACUCCUACGGGAGGCAGCAGCGAGGAAUAUUGCGCAAUGGAGGGAACUCUGACGCAGUAACGCCGCGUGGGGGAAGAAGACCUUCGGGUUGUAAACCUCUUUUUAUUCAGACGAGAGAGGACGGUAUGGAUAGAAUCAGUCUCGGCUAACUACGUGCCAGCAGCCGCGGUAAGACGUAGGAGGCGAGCGUUAUCCGGAUUCACUGGGCGUAAAGCGCAUGUAGGCGGUUCGUCAAGUCGUGUGUUAAAGCCCCCGGCUCAACUGGGGGAGGUCAUGCGAGACUGAGGGACUUGAGGGCAGCAGAGGCACGUGGAACUCCCGGUGUAGCGGUGGAAUGCGUAGAGAUCGGGAAGAACACCCGUGGCGAAGGCGACGUGCUGGGCUGCAACUGACGCCGAGAUGCGAAAGUGUGGGGAGCAAACGGGAUUAGAUACCCCGGUAGUCCACACUGUAAACGAUGAACCCUAGGUGUGGGGGAGUAAAAUCUUCUGUGCCGAAGCCAACGCGUUAAGGGUUCCGCCUGGGGACUAUGAGCGCAAGCUUAAAACUCAAAGGAAUUGACGGGGGCCCGCACAAGCAGCGGAGCGUGCGGUUCAAUUCGAUGCGACACGAAAGAACCUUACCAGGGUUUGACAUGGACGUGGUAGGGAAGGGAAACUGGACCGACUC
RNAcentral lists this ribosomal RNA (959 nucleotides) under uncultured bacterium. RNAcentral's name for it is "bacterial SSU rRNA". It matches the Rfam family "Bacterial small subunit ribosomal RNA", at positions 57 to 1018 of the family's 1533-position model. The record is from RNAcentral.